GCAGGACCUGACUCAAACAGCUUGAACGUGCGUGGCAGCAGAGAGAUAAUUUCCUAACACCUUCUAGGGAGCUGUAAUACCCUGGAUGGUGAAAGGAGAGAAGGAGCUGAUUUGCUCCUUUAGCAAAUGGAGCCACCCCACAGGUGUAUCAACUGCUGCAGAGUACCUGGAGAUCUGAUCAGUUCUUGCAGGCAAAGGUAACAUUGUUGAGAUCGUAACACUGAAGAGCAAGAGGAUUCACAGACAAAACCCUC
Long non-coding RNA from Neopelma chrysocephalum (saffron-crested tyrant-manakin), 254 nucleotides. RefSeq lists it as uncharacterized. Lineage: Eukaryota; Metazoa; Chordata; Aves; Passeriformes; Pipridae. The record is from RefSeq and is a predicted model, not a curated record. The transcript has 3 exons.